UUUGAUCCUGGCUCAGGACGAACGCUGGCGGCGUGCUUAACACAUGCAAGUCGAGCGGUAAGGCCCUUCGGGGUACACGAGCGGCGAACGGGUGAGUAACACGUGGGUGAUCUGCCUCGCACUUCGGGAUAAGCCUGGGAAACUGGGUCUAAUACCGGAUAUGACCUUUCAGUGCAUGCUGUUGGGUGGAAAGAUUUAUCGGUGCGAGAUGGGCCCGCGGCCUAUCAGCUUGUUGGCGGGGUAACGGCCCACCAAGGCGACGACGGGUAGCCGACCUGAGAGGGUGACCGGCCACACUGGGACUGAGACACGGCCCAGACUCCUACGGGAGGCAGCAGUGGGGAAUAUUGCACAAUGGGCGGAAGCCUGAUGCAGCGACGCCGCGUGAGGGAUGACGGCCUUCGGGUUGUAAACCUCUUUCGACAGGGACGAAGCGCAAGUGACGGUACCUGUAGAAGAAGCACCGGCCAACUACGUGCCAGCAGCCG
RNAcentral lists this ribosomal RNA (488 nucleotides) under Nocardia brasiliensis. Its description in RNAcentral is "bacterial SSU rRNA". It matches the Rfam family "Bacterial small subunit ribosomal RNA", at positions 12 to 517 of the family's 1533-position model. The record is from RNAcentral. Lineage: Bacteria; Bacillati; Actinomycetota; Actinomycetes; Mycobacteriales; Nocardiaceae.